GUUUCAUAACUGUUUAUCCUGACGUCUCACAAAGAACCGGUGUCACUUAAAGGUGUAGAUGAGUCAUAUUAUGAAAAGUGCACAACAGGGAAUGGUGUCAUCUGUCUGUCUGUGAAAGCAAUGAGUGUGCAGUGAUUCAUUUCUAAUGUAUUUUGUCCUGUGAAUGGCUCCCAGUGUGGUCCGUCAUGCAUUAAAAACAAUACAUUUGGGGCAUUUAAUUUUAACUGUUUUUUUUUUUCUUUUGUCAGGUAAACAUCAGAAAGCUGGUUUAAUCUUUGUGCGGGCAGGUUUUAUCACCCACAUCUUUAUGAGCCUGACAAACAGAGGGCCAUGUGCGGCCAACCUUUUAAACUGGUGUGAUGAACAGCCAACAGAUGCUCCUUGGUUAUAUUGGCCAAGUGAGGGAGUUUAAAAAAGCUGCUCAGUGCAGUGCAGAUUUUUAACACGACGACGUGCAUAAAUUAAAGUGUCACACAGAAUUCAAGGAACGUGUAUGAAGAUAUCAUCACAGGUACACAUGGGCAGUAGGUAAAUAUACUAGAUGGAGCCAGUGUAAGGAUUAUCAGGGCAGGUGAUAAGGAAAAGAGUAAGUGGGAAAGGAGGAGAAAGCAGAUAGAGGUUUUAUUUUUGUUUGAGCUCCAGGUUGCUGGGGGACAAGACAUUAUCACCACUGAUAUAGUCUCACUGACUGACCUACAGUGUCUGCAUCCCCUUCUGCACAGUGUUUACUCCCAAACACUGCAGUUGCAAUAAAAAGAAAUAGACAUACACAGGUGCAUGGCAUGAUUUAGACAAAAAGCAAAGAACCACACAUGUGCAAGCAGGGACGUGCAGAGGGGGGGGCUAGAGGGGCUUGAGCACCCGCCCCUUUCCUGAUGAGUGCCCAAAGUGCCCUUUUGUUGAGGCAACUUUUAAAUUUUUUUUAUUUAUUUAUUAUUUUUUUUGUGUGUGUGUGCGUGCGGAGUCCUGUCUGUGCCCCUCAACAAUAAUAUUUAACUAUUAAUCAUAGUUUUGCUAAAUAAAAGGAUCUGGCUUGCAUCAGUCACAUGAUCACAUUUAACCAAUGAUCGCCCUCGACGGCAGAACGCGCUGGUUACGAGCCGGGAACGAGCUCACAAAGAGCACGCGCAUUUUUUGCGGUCCGGAGCUGUAGGAGAAACACAAGUUAACUCAGAGACACAGACUGAUGCGACAAAACCAAUAAGUAGGUGUACAGCGUACACUGUAGUGUGUAGCACCCAGGAUUAUUAGCUUAUUACGUACACGUUGGUAAGCUGUCUUGUUGCAACUGAC
This is a long non-coding RNA of Astatotilapia calliptera (eastern happy), 1293 nucleotides long. The record is from Ensembl. Lineage: Eukaryota; Metazoa; Chordata; Actinopteri; Cichliformes; Cichlidae.